UAGUCCACGCCGUAAACUAUGAUUACUCGUUUUCAGCGAUAUACUGCUGGAGACUAAGCGAAAGUGAUAAGUAAGCCACCUGGGGAGUACGCCCGCAAGGGUGAAACUCAAAGGAAUUGACGGGGGCCCGCACAAGCGGAGGAGCAUGUGGUUUAAUUCGAUGAUACGCGAGGAACCUUACCUGAACUUAAAUGGUGGACGACGGUUGCAGAAAUGUGACUUUCUUUUAGACGUCCAUCAAGGUGCUGCAUGGUUGUCGUCAGCUCGUGCCGUGAGGUGUUGGGUUAAGUCCCGCAACGAGCGCAACCCCUAUCGUUAGUUGCCAGCAUUAAGUUGGGGACUCUAGCAAGACUGCCGGCGUAAGCCGCGAGGAAGGUGGGGACGACGUCAAAUCAUCAUGGCCUUUAUGCCUAGGGCGACACACGUGCUACAAUGGUGCAUACAGGAGGUUGCCAAGCCGCGAGGUGGAGCUAAUCCCAGAAAGUGCAUCCCAGUUCGGAUUGGAGU
RNAcentral lists this ribosomal RNA (507 nucleotides) under uncultured bacterium. RNAcentral describes it as "bacterial SSU rRNA". It matches the Rfam family "Bacterial small subunit ribosomal RNA", at positions 791 to 1304 of the family's 1533-position model. The record is from RNAcentral.